Aphis gossypii (cotton aphid) is the source of this 1270-nucleotide long non-coding RNA. RefSeq lists it as uncharacterized. The transcript is spliced from 4 exons. Lineage: Eukaryota; Metazoa; Arthropoda; Insecta; Hemiptera; Aphididae. The record is from RefSeq and is a predicted model, not a curated record.
GUUAUUGUUUACGAUUUACGACGGCGAUGGUAAUGUACCGUGUACGAUCCUACCUCUGCCCAUUAUGUCCUAAUAUCCUAUUGUCCUGUAACUUAUUUCACGUAUCACGCAUAGUUAUUAAUCUUUGUUUAAUGCAUUUAAUAGUCAACAUUCAACACUCGUGCAUGUAGGUAUUAUGCAGUUUACCAGUGGCGGCGGGCAGCGUCAACUUGUUAGACAAUAAUGAAGCGAGACAUAAAAUAUCAAAAACGACUUUAUCUACGUUGUUUGACUUCCAACGAUGACUUGUUUAAUGUACCCAAAACUACGAUGCCGCUCCAUUUGACACACACGAUAUCCCAUUCCGUCUGUGCCGCACCUGUACAGAAUAUUUGGUUACAACCUCCAUGGUCAAAAUAGAACAUAUUGGCUCCUAACUAAUGUUGCAUUGGCGUGUGCUGAAUAUCACAAAAAGGUGGGACCAAAAUGUGAAACGAGUUACGCUGUCCUCAACGGUGGAGAACACAAAAAUGCUUAUUUUAAAGUUAUAUUUGAUGACGUGUCAAUUCUCCGAUCUGAAGCUUAGCUAUGGCCGCAGCAGCGGGCUUCUUUGAUGUUUAUUAUAAGGUCGCCUUCAAAAACUCGACGGAGCCGCAGAGGUUAAAAUUUAAUUAAUCAAUAAAAAUUAAUCGGCUGAUUUGUUGGCGUAUUUACCACUUUUACAGUUGGAACCGGACGGUUUCUUUAACAUUCAAUUUUGAGCCGUUAUUAUCAGCAACAACGUGGAGAAGAAAAUGAAAUAUUUAAUAAUUACUGUAUAUUAAUAAACUAUUACAUCAUGUUAUUGUUAAUUGUUAAAAAAUACGAUUUUGUAAUCAAGUUCCCUAGCAUUUACCGACGUAAUGCAAUGUUAGAAAAACGCACAAAUUUCAAUACUGCUUAGAAUAAAUAUUAGGAACAUUAUUAUUAAUAUAGGGUUAGGAUUUUAAUGAUCUUAAUUAAAAUCUCCAAAAUAAAUGCAUACAAAUAUCCAAAAUAAAUCCUUUAACUACUAACCUUUAUUUUCUGUUUAUAGAACCAACGACGCCGAGAGAACUGUUUUCACAUUACUUCCUCAACUAACCUAAAAUAACUUUUAGUAACUUAUUAGUUUGAUUAUUAUUUAUAUUAUGUAUAUCUUUCGUUUGAUCUUAUCUGAAAUGCAAAGUACUUACUGCAUACUUAAUUCGUGGAUUAUAAUUAAAUAAUAAUAUAUUAUUAAUAAAUAUCUAAUAAAGUCUAAAAGUAAAAA